UUAGGGUUUAGGAUUUGGAUUAGGGUUUGAUUUAGAGUUUAGGGUUUGGUUAGGGUUUGUUUUAGGAUUUAGGAUUUGAUCAAGAUUUAGGGUUUGGAUUAGGAUUUAGUUUAAGAUUUAAUUUAGGAUUUAGGAUUUAGAUAGGAUUUGAUUUAGGGUUUAGGGUUAAGUUAAGAUUUGGUUUAAGAUUUAGUUAGGAUUUGGUUUAGGGUUUAGGAUUUGGAUUAGGAUUUGGAUUAGGGUUUAAUUUAGGUUUUAGGAUUUAGUUUAGGUUUUAGGAUUUAGGAUUUAGAUUUAGGAUUUAGGAUUUAGGAUUUAGGGUUUGGAUUAGGGUUUGGUUUAAGAUUUGAAUUAGGGUUUGGUUUAGGAUUUGAAUUAGGGUUUGAUUUAGGGUUUAGGAUUUUAUUAGGAUUUAAGAUUCAAUUAAUUUGGCUUAAAUUUUGAAUGAAGUUCAAUAGGAUUUUAAUUAAAAUUAAAUUAAGAUUGAAUUGAGAUGUAUUUGAAUGACAUUUGUGUUCUUUCUAAUGUUUUUUUAAAAAUUCCUAUUGUUUGUUUGAAAUUUCUUUCAGAUUUUUUUAAAUUUGAUUAAGGUUGCUUAGCACUAUUAUAGUCUAAUUAGAGUAUUGUUAGUAUUCUAUUAGAAUUAGAAUUUUGUUAUUGCAAUUUCCAUUCUUCCUUCCUUAGCCAGGUGCCCGGAGCAUUCUCAAGCCAAACUUCACGUAUUACGACAUUGUAAUCCUAAAUCAAAUCCUAAACAAACUCUAAUCUCUUAACUAAAUCCUAACCAAAAUCUAAACUCUUAACCAAACCCUAA
RNAcentral lists this long non-coding RNA (814 nucleotides) under Physcomitrium patens. RNAcentral describes it as "long non-coding RNA (PPAT_LNC003367)". Lineage: Eukaryota; Viridiplantae; Streptophyta; Bryopsida; Funariales; Funariaceae. The record is from RNAcentral.